Molecule: long non-coding RNA, 407 nt
Filed under: Androctonus crassicauda
Lineage: Eukaryota; Metazoa; Arthropoda; Arachnida; Scorpiones; Buthidae
Source: RNAcentral
UUUUAACAGAUUUCAAUACAGAAAGAUUCGCAUUAUUUGAAAAUAUUAAAAACUACAAAUUGAAUUUUUAGCAGUUUUUACUGAAAUUCUGUCCAUGUGUCCCCUUAAGGAAGGAGCCAGGAAUACUGUGGAAGAGGCAGGUACGUUGGUUACCAAACUGAAAGGUGUUUUGGUGUACCAACAAGGAUAUAUUAAUAGAAUGUUCGAGAAAAGGAGUGUUCAGAAGUGUGAUGACUUAUCUACUGAGGAAUGUAUUCAGCCUGUAUCGGAAGAAGUUUUACCAAUUAAAUCUAAGGAUAAGAGUAUGGGUGGAAAUGAGGUGAAGAAAUUUUUACAGGGCUUAAAUUAACAUUAAGAAAAUGAAAAUUGGUGUAAAAAGAUUAAAGAUGACUAGGAAUAAAAGUCUG